GGAGGAGCUCAGUGGUAGAGUGAGUGCUAAGCAAGCAUGAGGUCCUGGGUUCAAUCCCCAGUACCUCCA
This 69-nucleotide transfer RNA is filed under the name Camelus bactrianus (Bactrian camel). It matches the Rfam family "tRNA". From Rfam's summary of the family: Transfer RNA (tRNA) molecules are approximately 80 nucleotides in length. Their secondary structure includes four short double-helical elements and three loops (D, anti-codon, and T loops). Further hydrogen bonds mediate the characteristic L-shaped molecular structure. tRNAs have two regions of fundamental functional importance: the anti-codon, which is responsible for specific mRNA codon recognition, and the 3' end, to which the tRNAs corresponding amino acid is attached (by aminoacyl-tRNA synthetases). tRNAs cope with the degeneracy of the genetic code in two manners: having more than one tRNA (with a specific anti-codon) for a particular amino acid; and 'wobble' base-pairing, i.e. permitting non-standard base-pairing at the 3rd anti-codon position. RNAcentral also lists the same sequence under 3 other names. The record is from Rfam by way of RNAcentral. Lineage: Eukaryota; Metazoa; Chordata; Mammalia; Artiodactyla; Camelidae.